RNAcentral lists this unclassified non-coding RNA (253 nucleotides) under uncultured Planctomycetales bacterium. RNAcentral's name for it is "contains 16S-23S intergenic spacer region". It matches the Rfam family "Bacterial small subunit ribosomal RNA", at positions 524 to 776 of the family's 1533-position model. The record is from RNAcentral. Lineage: Bacteria; Pseudomonadati; Planctomycetota; Planctomycetia; Planctomycetales.
UACGUACUGUGCGAACGUUAUUCGGAAUCACUGGGCUUAAAGGGUGCGUAGGCGGCUAUCUAAGUAGGGUGUGAAAGCUCUCGGCUCAACCGAGGAAUUGCGCUCUAAACUGGAUGGCUUGAGUGAGAUAGGGGUGUGCGGAACUUCCAGUGGAGCGGUGAAAUGUGUUGAUAUUGGAAGGAACACCGGUGGCGAAAGCGGCACACUGGGUCUCAACUGACGCUGAGGCACGAAAGCCAGGGGAGCGAACGGG